AUUGAACGCUGGCGGCAUGCUUUACACAUGCAAGUCGAACGGUAACAGGCCGCAAGGUGCUGACGAGUGGCGAACGGGUGAGUAAUGCAUCGGAACGUGCCCAGUCGUGGGGGAUAACUACUCGAAAGAGUAGCUAAUACCGCAUACGAUCUAUGGAUGAAAGCGGGGGACCGUAAGGCCUCGCGCGAUUGGAGCGGCCGAUGUCAGAUUAGGUAGCUGGUGGGGUAAAGGCUCACCAAGCCAACGAUCUGUAGCUGGUCUGAGAGGACGACCAGCCACACUGGGACUGAGACACGGCCCAGACUCCUACGGGGGGCAGCAGUGGGGAAUUUUGGACAAUGGGCGCGAGCCUGAUCCAGCAAUGCCGCGUGCAGGAAGAAGGCCUUCGGGUUGUAAACUGCUUUUGUACGGAACGAAACGGCUCUGGUUAAUACCCGGGGCUAAUGACGGUACCGUAAGAAUAAGCACCGGCUAACUACGUG
This 482-nucleotide ribosomal RNA is filed under the name uncultured bacterium. Its description in RNAcentral is "partial 16S ribosomal RNA". It matches the Rfam family "Bacterial small subunit ribosomal RNA", at positions 30 to 507 of the family's 1533-position model. The record is from RNAcentral.